RNAcentral lists this ribosomal RNA (337 nucleotides) under Pseudomonas aeruginosa. Its description in RNAcentral is "bacterial SSU rRNA". It matches the Rfam family "Bacterial small subunit ribosomal RNA", at positions 920 to 1257 of the family's 1533-position model. Lineage: Bacteria; Pseudomonadati; Pseudomonadota; Gammaproteobacteria; Pseudomonadales; Pseudomonadaceae. The record is from RNAcentral.
CCCGCACAAGCGGUGGAGCAUGUGGUUUAAUUCGAUGCAACGCGAAGAACCUUACCUGGUCUUGACAUCCACAGAACUUAGCAGAGAUGCUUUGGUGCCUUCGGGAACUGUGAGACAGGUGCUGCAUGGCUGUCGUCAGCUCGUGUUGUGAAAUGUUGGGUUAAGUCCCGCAACGAGCGCAACCCUUAUCCUUUGUUGCCAGCGGUUCGGCCGGGAACUCAAAGGAGACUGCCAGUGAUAAACUGGAGGAAGGUGGGGAUGACGUCAAGUCAUCAUGGCCCUUACGACCAGGGCUACACACGUGCUACAAUGGCAUAUACAAAGAGAAGCGACCUCG